GUGGCAGCACUAGACAAAGUACUGAGCAUGAAGAGGGGGAGGAGGCGAGCAAAGGGAAGGGAUGAGAACAGUGUCUGUCUACUGCUAAGCCCCUGCAUAUGAGAAAAACAAACAUUGACGUAAUUUCCCUGCGCCUACUGUCUCCUAGGCAACGCUUCCUGUUGGAUGAGUAGCUCUGCAGCACUAGCUUGUACCGGGCCUGGCACAAUGACUGGGCAAUAAGUCGCAUACAAGAGUAAGGGCUAGGGUGAUGCAAUGGAAGUUGCAGAGGAGAAGGGAUGGAGUCUGGCAGCAUGGACGGUGUGUGCGGUGCUGCUGCCAGUUCUGCUCACUCUUUGGUGCAGUGUUCGCAGGUCCCAGAGGAGGAAUAUCCCCCGGACAGGGAAGCACGGCUGGCAGGACACCGACCUCUUCGGGAAACCCACGUAUUGCUCGGUGUGCGGGCAGCAUAUCCUGCAUGGGGUGUACUGUCGCUCCUGUGGCCUGUGUGCGGAUGAAGCCUGUGUCCGAAGAGCCAAUAGGCGCUUUCCCUGCAAGGAAAUCAUACUGUGGGCUGAGGGCAGGGGCCACCACUGGGUGCGGGGAAAUGUGCCUCUGUGCAGCCUUUGCUCCGUGUGCGGCCAGCAGUGCGGCUGUCAGCCCAAGCUCUGUGACUACAGGUGUAUUUGGUGCCAACGGACUGUGCACGAUGACUGCAUGCAGAACAACUUGAAAAUCGAAGACUGUGAUUUUGGUGAAUUUAAAAAUCUUAUAAUUCCUCCAAGUUACCUUUCUGCUGUCACUCAGUUGAAGAAGGGCAAAACUACUGAUUAUGAAAAGUUAGCAUCUUCCAUGGGGAAGCAGUGGACUCCCUUAAUAGUCUUGGCUAAUACUCGUAGUGGGAAUAACAUGGGUGAAGCCCUACUGAGUGAAUUUAAAGGUCUCCUGAAUCCCAUCCAGGUGUUUGACCUGAGCAAAGUCUCCCCAUUUAAAGCUCUUCAGCUGUGUACAUUAUUGCCAGACAAAUCGGCCAAGGUGCUUGUUUGCGGAGGGGAUGGCACUGUUGGUUGGGUUCUAGAUGCUGUGGAUGAGAUGAAGAUUAAGGGUCUGGAAGGUUGUGUUCCACAAGUAGCAGUUUUACCUCUCGGGACAGGCAAUGACCUGGCUAAUACAUUGGGUUGGGGAGCGGGGUACGCUGGAGAUGUGCCUGUAGAACAAAUACUUCGGAACAUAAUGGAUGCUGAUGGUAUUAAGCUUGACAGGUGGAAAGUUCAAGUAACAAACAAGGGUUACAGUUUGAGAAAACCAAAGGUGUUAUCGAUGAACAACUACUUUUCAGUAGGGCCUGAUGCAUUAAUGGCUUUAAAUUUUCAUACCCAUCGUGAGAAAACUCCUUCCCUGUUCUCCAGUAGACUUGUUAAUAAGGCAGUUUACCUUUUUUAUGGGACAAAGGAUUGCUUGGUUCAGGAAUGCAAAGAUCUCAACAAGAAAGUAGAGCUGGAGUUAGAUGGAGAGAGAAUAGACUUACCAAAUUUGGAAGGAAUUGUAGUGCUGAACAUUGGUUAUUGGGGAGGAGGCUGCCGACUUUGGGAAGGAAUGGGAGAUGAACCAUAUCCCUUAUCAAGACACGAUGAUGGGCUGCUGGAAGUUGUUGGAGUUUAUGGAUCCUUCCACUGUGCACAGAUUCAAGUGAAGUUGGCAAAUCCUGUGAGACUUGGCCAAGCACACACUGUACGGCUACUCUUGAAAAGUUCAAAAAUGCCAAUGCAGGUGGAUGGAGAGCCCUGGGCCCAAGGUCCAUGCACGGUCACCAUUACUCACAAGACACAUGCACUAAUGUUGUACCAUUCAGGAGAACAGACAGAUGAUGAUGAUGAUGCUUCCAGUGGAUCGGACCAUGAGAAGCAGGGGGAUAAUGAGCAGAGUGAUGAGGAUAUUUAGCCUUCUAACCAGCAGUUCUCCCUAUCGAUUUCCACUGCUAUAUCAGGAUGACUACAGUUAUCUGUCAGUUUUAAACCUUUUCCUGUAUUUGUGUAAGGUUGAAGCACAAGUUUCUCUGCAGUGCUGGACUGUCUCCAUACACCAGCGACUUUGUUCAGAACUUGCAUAUUGAGCAAUGGCAGAGGGGAGAAAAGUCAUCACAGCCUCCAUCUUUUUAUUGAUACUUCGACUUCUGUUGUCCUUUAGCUCCCAAGAAUUUUCAUCAUGCAAUGCGUGAGUUUUAUCCUUUACUUUAAAGGUUCACCUUGCUGUAUUGACACUUAAUUUUAAAUGUGCAUAUAACUGUAGGAGAUGUUUUCUUUGUCCACACUGGAAAAUGAUCAUACAUAUUUACUGAUCCUUUAAAAAAAUCACAUAAUAUAUUGUCUCAGUUUUACGUGUAUUUACGUUUUAGAAAAUUGUGUUUUGUCCAGUGUUUUGCGUUCAUUCAUACAUAAGUGAAAAAUGUAGUAUUUUUACCAGUGCAGGAAUAAAUGUCACAUAUACCCACCCGCAAAGAUGUAUGUAAAAUUGCUCACAGUGCUCUUCUGUUGCAAUUUACAUUCUUUUUCUUAAUUUUCAUGAUAUUAGUAGUUUCACACUUCAGCCCUAUUAUAGAUGCCUAUAAACUAUUACAGAUGCAUAAAGGGUCUUCUGAUGCUUUUCUGCUAGAGAAUUAUGCAGAGAAGUAAACUGACAUAGAUAGUCAGCCUGUCAGCGCACAUAAGGGGCAGAUUGUGGCAUGAAAAAGCAUUCUCCCAUGUUUCCACCCUAAAAUCUGAUUUAAGUGUGCACUGACAGGCUGUUUCUCUGACUGUCAGCACAUAUCCAAGAUAGUGCACACAUAAACGGACACAAAAUAAUAGUACCAGUACAAUUGUAUGGUUACAGUCAGUAAUGAGUUAAUUUACUAUUGCCUUAGUUUCGGAGUGCAUGUAACACUGAGGGGUUGAAACAUAUCUGUUGUCUAUUUAUCACAUCCUUGUUCAGUUUUUUGGAGGGGCCUCAAAUCGCUGCAGUUUUUGGCUUAUAGUACUUUUAUCAAUUUUCAAGUUUGUGAAUUUUUUUAAAUUGUAUAAACUCGCAUAUCAAUCGCUUGACUAUUUAUUAAUAAGGAAAACUCGUUAGGGCUGUGACACACGGGGAGAUUCAUUGCGCUACUUUCAAGCCAGUGGGAUGGCAUUGUGGGGAGAUUAGUUGCCCACGACAACGGUGAUUUGUUGCGGCACAACUAAUCUCCGGUGUACCCCUGCCUUUACAGACUUGAAUACCACAAAUUUUUAGCGUUUCCAGACUCGAAGAAUUUGAGUUCACUUUGCCUAGGACAACUCCCUUUGACUUCUAUAGAAACUCGCAAGCUUUUAGAUGGCAAAUUUUUUACAUUGGAGUUUUUUUGUUUUUUUUAAUAAAUACCAGACAUUUGAGUUUUUGAAAUAUAAUUAGAAUUUGAGUUUUUUAGCGCAAAAAAUGAAUCUUCCCCCUAAAUGUCAUAUGCCAGCCUGGCGGAUGGGCAGCAAAAUACCUCUCCAUUGUCCUGAAUGGUAAUAGCCUGAAUGCUGCAGCUGUAGGUCCAGCAAUUUUCCACUUAGAAGGACAGGAGUAAAUGGUAGUAGCCUGAGUGUACCAGCAGGGUCCAGGCCAAUACUAUUCAGGGCAAUGGAUGAGCAAUUUCAAGUGUUCUCUCACCCUCCUGCCAUGCUGGAAAUCGCACAAGAGAUAAAAGCCUUACAAAAGAGUAAAUAUGUCUGGGAUUUAUUUGUCAGGUCAUAUAAUAUUUGUAAAUGGAUACAACUUUGUGUAAUGUUUUAAUUCCAGUCUUAUCCCUUUAUAGCGAAGGUUUAUUUAUCUAAUAAAUAAGAUACACAGUCGGAUGAAUGCUUACUCUCACUGAGGAACACAGCAGGCCCUGCAAAUGGCCACACAUUUAUUUUGUACUUAAUAAAGGGGUCUAUGAAAUUACUUACAAGUUUUAUUGUGCAGCUAUCAGGCUUAGAUUUAUUAGCCUAACAACAAGGUAGCAGUUUGGAAGAUGAAUAUUGAAGCUGAAGCCUUGCAGUUAUUAUGGUUUUGGUUGCCUGGGUCAGUGACUCUGACAAUCGGAUAGCAAUAUCAAUUGCAUGCCAGAAAUAAGGAGAAUAGGAAAUCCAAUAAUUAGAAAAAACAAAAUAGGUAUAUA
Molecule: RNA transcript, 4135 nt
Organism: Xenopus tropicalis (tropical clawed frog)
Lineage: Eukaryota; Metazoa; Chordata; Amphibia; Anura; Pipidae
Gene: dgke
Gene name: diacylglycerol kinase epsilon
Exons: 12
Source: RefSeq, a predicted model, not a curated record